AACGCGUCGGGUAAUCUACCUCCGAAUCGGGGAUAACCCGCCGAAAGGCGAGCUAAUACCGGAUAAUAUCUUUAAAACUUAGGUUUUUAAGAUCAAAGGUGGUCUCUACAUGUAAGCUGCUGUUUGGAGAUGAGCCCGCGUACCAUUAGCUUGUUGGUAGGGUAAUGGCCUACCAAGGCCGCGAUGGUUAGCUGGUCUGAGAGGAUGAUCAGCCACACUGGAACUGACACACGGUCCAG
This 239-nucleotide ribosomal RNA is filed under the name uncultured bacterium. RNAcentral describes it as "partial 16S ribosomal RNA". It matches the Rfam family "Bacterial small subunit ribosomal RNA", at positions 112 to 334 of the family's 1533-position model. The record is from RNAcentral.